GCCAGGUGCUGUGGCGCAUGCCUGUAAUCCCAGAGGCUGGGGAGGCUGAGGCAGGAGGAUCAUGGGUUCGAGGCUAGCCUCAGAAAAGUAGCAAGGCCCUAAGCCACUUAGAGAGACCCUGUUUCAA
Molecule: small RNA, 127 nt
Filed under: Marmota monax (woodchuck)
Lineage: Eukaryota; Metazoa; Chordata; Mammalia; Rodentia; Sciuridae
Source: RNAcentral